Molecule: unclassified non-coding RNA, 18 nt
Filed under: Mus musculus (house mouse)
Lineage: Eukaryota; Metazoa; Chordata; Mammalia; Rodentia; Muridae
Description: oocyte_clustered_small_RNA8006
Source: RNAcentral
UGCCUGGUGGUAGCUCAG